CCUGUGUCUCAUUGUCUCCUCUCUCUUGGUGUAUUUAGUCUGUGCCCCCCCAGUCUGUCUUUGCUGCUUUAGGUGGCCCAGUACACGAUGACAGUGUGACAGUGAACCAGCAUGCACAAACCCUGAAACUGAACCAGCUAAAUGUCACCCACAAACCUGCGGGAGUUGCAGUAGUCAGCACAGAGUGUCCAGUUCACAUCCUGACAGAUCUCAGCCCAAAAACGUCAGAGCUGC
Lates calcarifer (barramundi perch) is the source of this 234-nucleotide long non-coding RNA. RefSeq lists it as uncharacterized. The record is from RefSeq and is a predicted model, not a curated record. The transcript is spliced from 3 exons. Lineage: Eukaryota; Metazoa; Chordata; Actinopteri; Centropomidae.